UUACAGCCAUAUCAUGCUGAAACAUUGGUUCCCAUAUGAUCACCAAAGUUAAGCAAUGUCAAGCCUGGUCAGUACCUAGAUAACUGACCACUUGGGAAUGCCAGGUGCAGUAA
Acanthosepion pharaonis is the source of this 113-nucleotide non-coding RNA. The record is from the annotation of a GenBank genome assembly. NCBI's taxonomy places the organism in Eukaryota, Metazoa, Mollusca, Cephalopoda, Sepiida, Sepiidae.